Non-coding RNA from Eptesicus fuscus (big brown bat), 723 nucleotides. NCBI's taxonomy places the organism in Eukaryota, Metazoa, Chordata, Mammalia, Chiroptera, Vespertilionidae. The record is from the annotation of a RefSeq genome assembly.
AUGGCCUGGACUCCUCUGCUCCUCGCGCUCCUCUCUCUCUGCACAGGGUCCCUCUCCCAGCCUGUGCUGACCCAGCCGCCCUCCCUCUCUGCCUCUCCGGGAGCCACAGCCAGACUCACCUGCACCCUGAACAGUGGCUUCAGUGUUGGCAGCUAUGGUAUAUACUGGUACCAGCAGAAGCCAGGGAGCCCUCCCCGGUUUCUCCUGUACCAAGGCUCAAGUACAAGUUUGGGCUCCGGGGUCCCCAGCCGCUUCUCUGGAUCCAAAGACGCCUCGGCCAAUGCGGGGCUCCUGCUCAUCUCGGGGCUGCAGCCUGAGGACGAGGCUGACUAUUACUGUAUGAUCGGUUACAGUAGUGCUUCCCACAGUGACACACACAGAUGGGGAAGGUCCAGGUCUCAGGCUGUGGUCACUCAGGAGCCCUCAGUGAGCCUGUCCCCAGGCCGAACGGUCACUCUCACCUGUGGCUCCAGCACAGGGGCUGUCACCAAUGGUCACUAUCUACAUUGGAUCCAGCAGAAGUCUGGCCAGGCCCCCAGGGCUCUGAUUUAUGAAACAACCAAGAAAUUCUCCUGGACCCCGGCCCGGUUCUCAGCCACCAUCCAAGGGGGCAAAGCUGCCCUGACCCUCACAGGGGCGCAGCCUGAGGAUGAGGCCGAGUACUACUGCGCUCUGUGGUUCAGCAGCCAUCCCCACAGUGACAGGGAGCUGGGAUCACAGUGA